GCAAGUCGAACGAACGAACCCGAAGCUUGCUUCGGGCUAGUGAGUGGCAAACGGGUGAGUAACACGUGGGAAUCUACCCGUCAGUACGGAAUAACCCUUGGAAACAAGAGCUAAUACCGUAUAUUCUCUUCGGAGGAAAGAUUUAUCGCUGACGGAUGAGCCCGCGCAAGAUUAGGUAGUUGGUAGGGUAAUGGCCUACCAAGCCAACGAUCUUUAGCUGGUCUGAGAGGAUGAUC
Molecule: ribosomal RNA, 236 nt
Filed under: uncultured bacterium
Lineage: Bacteria
Description: partial 16S ribosomal RNA
Rfam family: Bacterial small subunit ribosomal RNA
Source: RNAcentral